CUUUUAAAGGAUAUCAGCCAUCCAUUGGUCUUAGGAACC
RNAcentral lists this transfer RNA (39 nucleotides) under Psammodromus algirus. RNAcentral describes it as "partial tRNA-Leu". The record is from RNAcentral. Lineage: Eukaryota; Metazoa; Chordata; Lepidosauria; Squamata; Lacertidae.